This 466-nucleotide ribosomal RNA is filed under the name uncultured bacterium. RNAcentral's name for it is "partial 16S ribosomal RNA". It matches the Rfam family "Bacterial small subunit ribosomal RNA", at positions 28 to 506 of the family's 1533-position model. The record is from RNAcentral.
GAUGAACGCUGGCGGCGUGCUUAACACAUGCAAGUCGAACGGUGAAGCAGAGCUUGCUCUGUGGAUCAGUGGCGAACGGGUGAGUAACACGUGAGCAACCUGCCCCUGACUCUGGGAUAAGCGCUGGAAACGGCGUCUAAUACUGGAUAUGAGCUGCGACCGCAUGGUCAGCAGUUGGAAAGAUUUUUCGGUCUGGGAUGGGCUCACGGCCUAUCAGCUUGUUGGUGAGGUAAUGGCUCACCAAGGCGUCGACGGGUAGCCGGCCUGAGAGGGUGACCGGCCACGCUGGGACUGAGACACGGCCCAGACUCCUACGGGAGGCAGCAGUGGGGAAUAUUGCACAAUGGGCGAAAGCCUGAUGCAGCAACGCCGCGUGAGGGAUGACGGCCUUCGGGUUGUAAACCUCUUUUAGCAGGGAAGAAGCGAAAGUGACGGUACCUGCAGAAAAAGCGCCGGCUAACUACGU